Molecule: RNA transcript, 4702 nt
Organism: Vespa velutina
Lineage: Eukaryota; Metazoa; Arthropoda; Insecta; Hymenoptera; Vespidae
Gene: RfC3
Gene name: replication factor C subunit 5
Exons: 11
Source: RefSeq, a predicted model, not a curated record
CAAACAAAUAAUUAAAUUUUUGCGUAACAUUGAUUACUGUCUUUGAAAUUGCACCAGAACGUUGUAAAAAGAUUCGAUGAGCCAUCGCUGACUCUUAUGAGAAAGUUUUACUUAGCACAUAAAAUGGAAAAAAAAAAAUUCUACGAAAAAGUCUGUGAAACUUCGAACAGAGCGAAAUUCAAAUCUGGGAGAAACGAAGAUCGAUAAUUAGCAUCAGAAUUCAAUAACUUGUCCCAAUUUUUUUAACCGAUUAAGCAACAUAUCGCCACGUUUUAUCGUAUUUUGAUAAACCAAUCCUCGAUCGCAGCUAGCAUCAGGCGGUUGUCCUCUGUCACAACCGGAUGCGCUAACGUAACGCCGAAUUCGAUAGCCAUACGAUUUAAACUGAGCGUACGAUAUGCCUGUAAAAGUUGCGAAUAUGCCUUUAUGCGCAUCUCUCGAACGUAAUACUGAUAGUGUGGACGAAGAAUAGGAUCAAAUUUCAUUUCCAUUUCUAUCCAUGCGAGAUGUUGAAAGAAAUCAGCAUAAUGACAAUCAUAGAGACUAUUUAAAUAAUCCAUGUAAGCUGAACAUUCGAUCAUUAAAGAUUGCUGUAGGAUACCAUUAUUAUUGAAUCGUUUAUCAAGGUCUGAUCUUGAUAAAGAGAUCAUACCGGCUAAGACAGUGUACUGUACGAUAUCUUUGAACGGUAAUAAUUCGUAUGAUUCGAAGGUAGGAAUGCAAUCUAAUAAAAGGGAAACGGCACGAGUGAAAUUUCUUACGGCCAAACAAUAGAGCGCUUCGUAUGCCUUCAAUUUAUUUCGACAACACCAAUUGCUACCCAUAUUGCAGGAUACUAAAAAGAAAUCAUCGAAUAUUAAGUUCGUUUGUUCUUACAUUUUUUAAUUAAAAGAAAAGAAAAAAAAUGAAUAAAUGAACAGAAUCGUUAACGUUGACAGUGUUAUAAUGAAUGAAAGAUUGGGAAACUCGAAUUUUAUUAUUUUUAUGACGCGCAUGAACGCUCUAUUCGAAAAUAUCAAGAUGUUAAUUACGCCAUAUUUAAGUGAAAUACAAAGCGCGGGAUCGUAGCUAACCUUAGAUUUACUUUCUAAUAACGAGCAUUUGAGUGAUAUUAUGGCUUCUGAUAACAAAACAUUUACGAAUUUACCAUGGGUUGAAAAAUAUCGACCUAAAAAGUUGGAAGAACUCAUCUCUCAUGAAGAAAUAUUAAAAACAAUUAAUAAAUUCAUUGAUGAGAAUCAACUUCCUCAUCUUCUACUUUAUGGACCACCAGGCACAGGAAAAACCAGUACUAUAUUAGCUUGUGCAAGGAAACUUUACAAACCUGCGCAGUUUAAUUCUAUGGUAUUAGAAAUGAAUGCAUCUGAUGAUAGAGGAAUAGGUAUAGUCAGAGGACAAAUAUUAAAUUUUGCGAGUACAGGUACUAUGUACAGAUCUGGAUUUAAAUUGAUUAUUCUCGAUGAAGCAGACGCCAUGACAAAUGAUGCUCAAAAUGCUCUUAGGAGAAUUAUUGAGAAGUAUACAGAGAAUGUACGCUUUUGCAUUAUAUGUAAUUAUCUUGGUAAAAUUAUACCGGCUCUUCAGUCAAGAUGUACUAAAUUUAGAUUUGGUCCUUUGCAAUCGGAACAAAUUUUACCAAGACUAAAUGAUGUUAUAGAGCAGGAAAAUUUAAAAGUAACAGAUGAUGGGAAACAAGCAUUAAUGACAUUGUGCGGUGGAGAUAUGAGGAAAGUACUAAAUAUACUUCAGAGUACUUGGUUAGCUUUUGGAUCAGUUACAGAGGAAACAGUAUAUUCUUGCGUUGGACACCCUUUACCAGUUGAUAUAAAAAAUAUUGCAAACUGGUUGUUAAAUGAAUCUUACGAAUUAUCCUAUUGUAGUAUCCUUUUGAUUUUACUCAACAAUUUUUAUUAUUAUUUUGUCAAUUUUUAAUAGUUUUCUUAAUGGAUGAUAAGAAAUACAAGAUCUAAAAAUUAAGAAAGGACUCGCAUUGCAAGACAUACUGACUGAAUUGCAUCAAUUUGUACAUAAAAUUGAAUUCCCAGAUCACAUACUCAUAGAUUUAGUGAUAAAAAUGGCUGAAAUCGAAAAGAGGGUAGCAGUCGGAUGUAGCGAGGCAGUACAAUUAAAUGCUCUCGUGGCGGCUUUUCACAAAGCACGAGAGAUAGAUUUUUGAAAAAUAUUUACCGUCAGUAACCAACAAUGUGUCAGGUCGCCUCUAUUUAUACAAUACGAUAAUAUCUUAUAAUCUUUAAUUACAUUCUGUCGUGAAUCUUAUCUACGAGAUGGAUCUCCCCGAAUUGGAUGUCAAAAUCUACAACGUAAAAUCGGUAGAGUCAUCGUGUCAUUCUUUCCAUAAAUUUCCCUUAGCUUGUAAAUUCAUCUGUGCCUAUCGCUUCUCGUAUACCGGUAAUCGCACGAAAAGUGUAGACCUCAUUCUCCGGAUGAUAGUUCUUUUCAACAGUAAGUUUGUUGUGUAUGUAAAACAAUAUAUGUACAUAUAAACCGUAUAUAAACUGUCUUGAGAAUACUUUACCGUCUUGACAAGUAUUGUCCGAUCUGCACGCGAUUUGCUGAUCGUUAUUUGAAGAUAAUUGUUUAUUAAAAAAAAUCAUGUUGAACACGAACUAUCUCGUAACUGAAAAAACUUGUCAUUGACGAGAAAGAAAGUCGAGAAUUUAUCGUGUAGCUCUUGCGUAAACUCUUUGCAAACUAUGAAAAAAAACGUCGAUCCCUUUGAAAAUUGUAUUUUAAUUUACUUCGGCAUACAUAUUUAUAUAUCUGUCGAGCGAUCGAUGGAACUAACGCUCCAGUUCUUAAUGUCAAAAACAAAAGUCGACGUUAUCGUAAUGUUAUACACGGUAACGUGGUAUUCAUCGUAUUCAUAAAUUCGAGAAAUAUGGCUCUCUGUCUCUCUCUGUAUCUCUCUAUCUCCUGUCUCUAUGUUUCUCUCUCUCUCUCUUUCUCUCUCUCUCUCUUUCAGAUAGCGUUGCGAAACCAUCAAAACUAGGUAGUAUCACUGUAAACCUAUAUGCGAAGUCGGCAAGUGGAAUGACCUAGCGUUGGUCCGACGAGCCAUUAAUUUCUACACUCUUCCUCUCCCGUCUCUUCCUGCCGCUCUUUCCCCCCACCACUUUCAUCACGCGAUGCAAUACUCCCCGCAAACUCAGCGUACUACCAUGAUAUCUCUCGAGUAGUACCGCCAAAUUUUUAAUGAAAGUGCUCCGACAUAAGUUUAUCGCUAAUUUUCGCCCAUUUCAUUAUGGACGUGCGUUAUGCAAAGCGGUGGACGUAAUCGUACGUGCUUUUGCACGUUGCUGUAUCGUGAAAGAGGGUUGGAGGAAUGGGAUUCAAAAAUUCAAAAAAAAAAAAAAAGAAGAAAAAGGAAGGUUAAAGCAAAUUUGACUCAUAUAUAAAAACUAACGAGUUAAAAUACUAUGAACGAAUUGAAAAUAGAAAACAAACUUUUUGUAAAUUGUACAUUGUUACCAGUGAAUAUUCAUGUAUACAUUGUUAUAUAUUUGUUCUUCAUCGUUCAUUAUCGAAAGAGAGGGGGCAGAGAGAGAGAGAGAGAGAGAGAGAGAUAGAUAGAUAGGGGGAAGAGAGAGAGAGAGAGAGAGAGAGCGUAAUACAUUUCUUACGAGUCGAUUUACAAAAAUUAAAAGUAAAUAAAAGUAAAAAAAAAAAAGAAAAAAAACAAAUAAAAAUAUACAAUUCCGACUGACAGCGUAUAAAUAAAAUUCAUCCAUGAAUCCACGUUUCGUAUUUUACAAUUUUUUCUUGAUCGAACGUCAGUUUUGCCCAGGCAGCGUUGGAAAUAGAUUGUUUCUUUUUUUUUUCUUUUUUAAUUUUUUUCGUUACUUUUAUUGAUUUUUUUCUUUUUAAAUCAACAUCACGUAUUCGUCGAAAUCGGUAAUUAAAUAACACUCAGGAACGAUACCAAAUCAAACUUUCGAGUUAAUAAGAAGUUCUCGAAGGUGGUAGGUAGUACGUCGACGGCGGCGUCGGUGCCGACGUCGAUUCUGCCAGCUAUUUCAGCUUGAAAACUUCACGUAGACGUGCCCGCGUUAACUUUCCGCUUCGAAAUAACUAAUUCAAUUAGUAUAUCAGUGCCGAUGUAAGGGUUAACUACAUCCACGCGUUCGCGAAGUGUACGUAAUCCUCGUUCUGUGACUUAACUUUGACAUAGCUAAUCCCUCUUAAACUUUGCUUCUCUGACCUGGACACGUUCAGUUUCUUAUUCUCCGUGGAUCUGUAAGAAAGAAAGAAAGAGAGAGAGAGAGAGAGAGAGAGAGAGAGAGAGAGAGAGAGAGAGAGAGAGAAAGAGAGAAACACUUUUGCAACGGUGGAAGUCUGACAACGACUUUUGCACCUCUUCGACAUUGCGGGUGUAAAGUGCGUUAAGCUUGCCUUUUCGACAACGUAGAGUGACUUUCUUAUUAAUAGGAGAGGUCGAGAGAGAAUGGGAGAGAGAGAGAGAGAGAGAGAGAGAGAGAGAGAGAGGAAAAAAUAGAAAAGGAAAAAGUUUAACUAGAAGUUCGAUAGGUGGUUCGGACGAACGUCCGCGAAAACACUUUAACGUGUUACGUGUAUUAACUCAUGAUGGCUACGUGGUUUCGUAUUAAAGUUUUCUUUUCAUUGACAGAAAGGAAUGGAUAAGAAUCGUAUUUAAAAAUGAUUACAAUAUUUAUUCCAAUCGAUA